Molecule: long non-coding RNA, 500 nt
Filed under: Dasypus novemcinctus (nine-banded armadillo)
Lineage: Eukaryota; Metazoa; Chordata; Mammalia; Cingulata; Dasypodidae
Description: lncRNA (ENSDNOG00000052477.1)
Source: RNAcentral
UGUUCUUGGUUAAUAAAAUAAUUUAGUUUUUUUUAACAAUAGCAUAUGUUAUUUUUCAGGUUCUAUAUCUUGAAACUUUCAAGAAUGAUCAGGCUUCAGUUCUUUCAUGUUAGCAAAUUAUUCUUUUAUCAGAUAUGGCAUAAUUUGGAUGGUGGGAUCAAUUCUAUUUGUACUGUAAAAGGGAACAGGUGGCCAGAGGUUUGGCCAUCCUUUGAUAUUCAGAAAUGAGGCUAAAGGGAAAUCAUCUCCAUUUCUUCUGUUAAGAUGAUAAGUAUGACAGGGAUAUUGAAUCAGCAGUGACAGCAUGAAUAAAAAGAAACCAUCAAAUAUGCUUAUUGACAACAUGACCUCAGACAAGUCACUUAAGCUCUCUGAACCUCAAACUCUUCAUAUCUAAAUGGAGAUAAUGAUUUUAUCUUAAGACUGUUACGAGGAGUAUGAAAAAAAGAUACAUAAAAAACAUUGGCCAGAGCACUUGGUACAUAGUCUCUACAUGAUAG